Small nuclear RNA from Cricetulus griseus (Chinese hamster), 105 nucleotides. Lineage: Eukaryota; Metazoa; Chordata; Mammalia; Rodentia; Cricetidae. The record is from Ensembl.
UUACUGCCCAAUAGCACAUACAGAGCAUAUGGAAUGGUACAGAGAAGAUUAGCAUGGCCCCUGUACAAUGAUGAUACAAAAAUUCAUAAAGAGUUCCAUAUUUUU